CGAUUACGGCUCAGUAACACGUGGAUAACCUACCCUUAGGACUGGGAUAACCCUGGGAAACUGGGGAUAAUACUGGAUAGGCAAUUAUUCCUGUAAUGGUUUUUUGUUUAAAUGUUUUUUCGCCUAAGGAUGGGUCUGCGGCCGAUUAGGUAGUUGGUUAGGUAAUGGCUUACCAAGCCUUUGAUCGGUACGGGUUGUGAGAGCAAGAGCCCGGAGAUGGAACCUGAGACAAGGUUCCAGGCCCUACGGGGUGCAGCAGGCGCGAAACCUCCGCAAUGUGAGAAAUCGCGACGGGGGGAUCCCAAGUGCCAUUCUUAACGGGAUGGCUUUUCAUUAGUGUAAAGAGCUUUUGGAAUAAGAGCUGGGCAAGACCGGUGCCAGCCGCCGCGGUAACACCGGCAGCUCUAGUGGUAGCAGUUUUUAUUGGGCCUAAAGCGUCCGUAGCCGGUUUAAUAAGUCUCUGGUGAAAUCCUGCAGCUUAACUGUGGGAAUUGCUGGAGAUACUAU
Molecule: ribosomal RNA, 507 nt
Filed under: uncultured euryarchaeote
Lineage: Archaea; Methanobacteriati; Methanobacteriota
Description: bacterial SSU rRNA
Rfam family: Archaeal small subunit ribosomal RNA
Source: RNAcentral